GACAGUGUCAGGCUUGUUAGUGGUCGGGGACAGAUGAAUCCAGCCCUGUGCUGAUCGCCUGCCUUCCACCUCCCAAUUAGACUAUCACAGCCGGUGCUGCUGUCUCUUGUACUUACUGUAAAGGACCCUGGAAGAGGGAGUGGUUCAUCCUAGCUGCAAACAAGGGCGGUUUUUUGUUGUUGUUUGCUUCUUUUUUUUUUUUCUUUUAAGAAUUACGUUUUAUAAGUAUGUCUGGGCGUUACAAGGGAAUGUGAACGACUUUUCAGAGAGAUUGUGAAUAUAUUUGAUGUGUUCUAAAAAGCUGGAAAUCCCUAAGUAAAUGCAGUAUCGAUAGAAAGCAAGUUUCUUGAAGAGUCACCUGCUAAACUCUACUAGCAUCAUCUCUACAAUUGGGAGCCUCGAAGUCUGAAAUCAAGGUGUCAGCCAGAUCCCCUCUGAAGUCCUGGCGAAGAGUUCUUCCUUGCCUUCUUCAGGUUCAUUUGACCUCAGGCAUUCCUUGGCUGUGGCAGCCUAACUCCAGUUUCUGCCUCCAUCUUCAUAGAGCCUUCUUCCCUCAGUCAACCUCUGUUUGCUCUUCUACUGGGCUUCUGAAAAAAUGAUUGUUGGUUAGCAGAACAAGAAUUUCUCUAGCAGUACAGCAGACGUUUUCUUUCUAGUGACAUGUGAGAGUGGGCGGUUGACCAUCAAACAGCCUUUCAAAAUUAAACCUCAGUCUCUCUUCAAAAAGAAAACAAAAAUAAUACGAGACAAACUUUGGCUAUAGACCGAAACAUCCGAUAUGGUGGAAGUACAACAUUAACCAUACUGAUGGGGCCAACAUCUGUGGAAAUGAUGAACAUGAAAUGAGAAGAAAACAAAUCCCUGGUGGGAGGAGGGGGGGAUCACAGAACAAAGUUAUCUCAGGAUCCUAGGCUCUUUGGGCUUCUAAAUAGUUCUCUGUGUAUGAGAUAACAUUUAAUCUAAUUUAAGCCCUUGUAUUUUUUCAGUGGUUUAGCCUUUAUCUUAAUAAAACUGUUUAGAAAAAUUUGGACUGACUGCUACUUACUUAAAAUAAAUGGGUAAAGUGAGUUGUUGUGAUAAAAAAAAAUGGAUUCAUCUUUAAAGUGGAUAAGAGACAAAUGGAUUGUGUGGUAGUAAUUAACUUAUUGUCUUUUUAUCACAUAGUUUCUCACAUGCUUAGGAAGUAAGGUAUUAAUCAGAAUUAUAGGAAAAAGUAUAUUUACAGUCUGGUAACUAUCAUAGAAUCUCUUCAAACUGUCAGAAAUACCACAUAGUAAUAAUAUAACUAGAAUAGUAUAUAGAGUAUAUAGUACAGAGUAUAUAGGGAGUAUAUAUAGCAUAUAUUAUAAAUUGAUUAUAAAGUAAAAAGUAUACAGGGCAGCACACACAGUAGAACAGUAGAUAGAGAAGUAUUAUAUAUUAAUCUUCAUGUAUUCAUAAGAAUAUCAUAUAUGUUCAUAUAUUAUUUUCCCCACAUUCACAGAGUAUAUGUGUUUUGAAAGUAGCAGAAGAUUGAAUUUUCACAAUUCACAAAAUAACAGAACUUUUGAGGUGUUCUAAAAUUAGGUAAAAAAUAGAUGCUUAUAAGAAAACAUCCAGAAAUAUAUCAUUAACUCUCUGAAUGUGUGAAUGAAUUUGACAUUUCCUAGGAGCUAAUGAGAUACAUGCUUGCUAUCUAACUUGUCAAGCAUUCUUUUUUGGAAAUCUUAACAAGAGAAGCCAUCUAAAUCUGAGUCAUUAAGGUGAGAUCAAGUCAAAACAUACCAAAAAUGAGAAUUAGAUUCCUGUUCUCUAAUGGUGUUUCAUAUGAAAAAGCCUGGUCCCCACUGUUGCAUAGACUGGCUUUAUAAUCCUGAUCCUGUGAAUGAAUGGUUGUCAUCUUAAGAAAUUUGCUCCAUUUCUUGGACCCCUGUGCACAGUGAAAACAUGUGUCAGAAACAACAACACUUUUGGUCCCUGCUAAUACCAAUGUUGUGAUUGUACUUGCUUUUUUUUUUCCUAUUUAUGUUGUAACUGCUAACUCCUUUUAGAAUCCAGUAUCCCAAUUACCAGCUCAGAUUUAGACCACUUUUAUCUCUUAAUGUCUGAUAAAAAUUGUCUAGUACAUACCCCACACAACAAAUUAUAGGCAGUAGAUAGCUGCUGGAUUCAAUUUCAUCUUGGAUAUAUUCCUUUAAGUAAAUAUGCUUUAAUUUUAAUGUGUGUGCAUAAAAUUAUGCUGUUUUCACUUGUAAAAUUUAGCUUAGAAACUUUCAUUCAUUAUUUAUACUUGUGUGAAUUAUUAACAUAUUUUCCCAAUUAUCAAUCAUAUCUUUUCCUUAUUUUGUUUUUAAAAAAUACUAUUUUUCUGAACAAUAAUCCUUUAUUAGUUAUUUAUGUUGUAAAUAUUUUCUCCCAGGUUAUGACUUAAUAUUCCCUAAUUGUUUCAUGAUGUAUUUGGUAAUUAAAUAUUAUUUAUUUUAGUGUAGUUUUAUUUAGCAAAUUUCUUUUAAGAUUAGCAUUGUAUCUUGUUUAAGAAAUUCUACUCUUUCCCCAAAGUGUUAAAAUAUUCUCCUAAACAUUAUUAUGAAAUUAUUAAAACUUUACUUGCACAUUUAAGCCUUUAAUCCUUUGAGUUUUGAAUUUUGCCUUUGAUGCAGGCAGGAUUUAAUCAUACCUAAUGGUUUUUCUGUAUUAGAUAAUAAUAUUUUAAAAUCUCUUAAUUUGUUUAAUUGGUGACUGACAUUUUACAUCUCAUAAUUUUAAAUUAAGCUUAUGUGAAUAAAUACAAUUUGAUCAUAAAA
RNAcentral lists this long non-coding RNA (2783 nucleotides) under Sus scrofa (pig). RNAcentral's name for it is "lncRNA (ENSSSCG00050063148.1)". Lineage: Eukaryota; Metazoa; Chordata; Mammalia; Artiodactyla; Suidae. The record is from RNAcentral.